This 242-nucleotide ribosomal RNA is filed under the name uncultured bacterium. RNAcentral's name for it is "partial 16S ribosomal RNA". It matches the Rfam family "Bacterial small subunit ribosomal RNA", at positions 100 to 334 of the family's 1533-position model. The record is from RNAcentral. RNAcentral also lists the same sequence under 1 other name.
CGGGACGGGUGAGUAACACGUGGAUAACCUACCUAUAAGACUGGGAUAACUUCGGGAAACCGGAGCUAAUACCGGAUAAUAUAUUGAACCGCAUGGUUCAAUAGUGAAAGACGGUUUUGCUGUCACUUAUAGAUGGAUCCGCGCCGCAUUAGCUAGUUGGUAAGGUAACGGCUUACCAAGGCAACGAUGCGUAGCCGACCUGAGAGGGUGAUCGGCCACACUGGAACUGAGACACGGUCCAG